GCAUAUCAAUAAGCGGAGGAAAAGAAACCAACAGGGAUUCCCCUAGUAACGGCGAGUGAAGCGGGAACAGCUCAAAUUUGAAAUCUGGCCCUUGGGUCCGAAUUGUAAUUUGUAGAGGAUGCUUUUGGUGCGGUACCUUCCGAGUUCCCUGGAACGGGACGCCUUAGAGGGUGAGAGCCCCGUACGGUUGGAUACCAAGCCUUUGUAUAGCUCCUUCGACGAGUCGAGUAGUUUGGGAAUGCUGCUCUAAAUGGGAGGUAAAUUUCUUCUAAAGCUAAAUACCGGCCAGAGACCGAUAGCGCACAAGUAGAGUGAUCGAAAGAUGAAAAGCACUUUGAAAAGAGGGUUAAAUAGCACGUGAAAUUGUUGAAAGGGAAGCGUUUAUGACCAGACUUUUUCCAGGCGGAUCAUCCGGUGUUCUCACCGGUGCACUUCGUCUGGUUGAGGCCAGCAUCGGUUUCCGUAGUGGGAUAAAAGCUUUAGGGAUGUGGCUCCCCCGGGAGUGUUAUAACCUAUUGUAUAAUACCGCUAUGGGGACCGAGGUUCGCGCUCUGCAAGG
RNAcentral lists this ribosomal RNA (559 nucleotides) under Beltraniella sp. ThaiCas6. Its description in RNAcentral is "eukaryotic LSU rRNA". It matches the Rfam family "Eukaryotic large subunit ribosomal RNA", at positions 38 to 607 of the family's 3401-position model. The record is from RNAcentral. Lineage: Eukaryota; Fungi; Ascomycota; Sordariomycetes; Amphisphaeriales; Beltraniaceae.